UGUAAGCGUAUACCAAAGUUGUUACAGUUAAAACGCUCGUAGUCGGAAUUUGGCAGUUCCGGAUGUGUGCACGUCGUGUGCGCACUUCGCGGGGAUUGCUUUUGUGGUCUUGCGUAGGAUGAGGCACUUUUAUUAGUGAACGUCCUCACGCAACCACUUUUUACUGUGAGAAAAUCAGAGUGCUCAAAGCAGGCAUUUGCCGUGAAUGUAUUAGCAUGGAAUAAUAGAAUAGGACUUGGUUCUAUUUUGUUGGUUUGUUGGGACUGAGUAAUGAUUAAGAGGGACAGUUGGGGGCAUUUGUAUUUCGGUGCUAGAGGUGAAAUUCUUAGAUUACCGAAAGACAAACUGCUGCGAAAGCGUCUGCCAAGGAUGUUUUCAUUGA
This 382-nucleotide ribosomal RNA is filed under the name uncultured eukaryote. RNAcentral's name for it is "partial 18S ribosomal RNA". It matches the Rfam family "Eukaryotic small subunit ribosomal RNA", at positions 592 to 976 of the family's 1831-position model. The record is from RNAcentral.